This is a long non-coding RNA of Homo sapiens (human), 1225 nucleotides long. The record is from Ensembl. Lineage: Eukaryota; Metazoa; Chordata; Mammalia; Primates; Hominidae.
GGGAGAGUUCUGGAUGACUUCUCUGAACAGCAUGGGGUCAAGGAUGACUGCCAAGACAUCAGAUGUCAUCACACCUGCCUUUCUCCUGGAUGUCUUUUCUUAUCAUUACAGUUGAAAUGCAAGAGAAACCCUAAAAGAAAUGUGAAGCUGAGAAGGACACAGCUCUCUGACCAUGACCACAGGAAGUGUGAUAGGACAGAAAUACAAUGGCUGUCAAAGAAGAAAACUCUACAUUACUGUCACCUAGAAAGACAGUGGGAUAAAUGAUGUAUAUAUUCUGUGGAAUUGUUUCCCUGAAUCCUCAGAACAGACUUAUGAGGGCCUAUGAAGAUAAGCAGGGCCUAAGAUGAUGAAGAUCUAAUCUUUCAUUGGAAGACACUUGGGUGAUGCUAUAGGAUAAUGAAGAUUUCAUCUUCCGUUGGAGGAUACCUCAGAUGUCCAGAUCUUUAGGUCUUUUCUUUUAGGCUUUGGCUGUAUCUAGCAUAUCUCAAUCCAGAAACUUUCUGGUCCACAUUCUGCACAGUACACUUAACUCAGGUGGCCUGCUGAGGUCCUCAAAGGGGUCCUGUAGCUGAACUGGAAAAUGGAAAAGGCCGAAGCCAUUCUUCUUUCUGAGAGAACAUGGACUUCAAUUCACCAUCUUAAUUCAGAAGUAUAAUGAUUUAAGAAGGCUCAGCUGCAGAUAUGUAAAGAGAGAUUUGCAAAAGCAUAAUCAAGUCAAGUCAUGGCAAGGUCAUAAGAAGCAGUCACAAAAGCAGCAGUAAUUUGAGUGCGAAUGGCAGUUUUCAUCAUGACUAUGCCCGUUCACAGGGACUCUUUGAAACAGAAGUUUGGUUGGAAGCAUUUCCCAUUCUGCUUGUGGCAGGGCAUGAAAGGGGCACAGAGGCUAUGGAUGCAUUGUUCCCCAGGCCCAGGCUCCUUCCUGGCUGUGUGAUGAUGGGCAAGUUGCUGGCCUCUCCAGUUGUGUCUUUGGAAAAUAGAUGUAAUUGCACCUACCUCAUUGGGUUAUGCAGAAGAUGAAUGAGAUCAUGCAUGAGAGUCCCUAGCACAGUGCCUGGCACACAGUCCCUCCCAUCAACAGUAGUUGAAGCUCAUUCCCUCACAGCCGUUAGAAUCAAUUGUGGGCCUAGAGGGCUUUCAUUUUGUCUCUGCUUACAGUUCUUUGCCCCGCUGGAAAAGGAGUUAGAAAGAAAGAAAAAUAAAACAAUAAAUCACAUAGGCUGUA